This 682-nucleotide ribosomal RNA is filed under the name Mycoplasma sp. RNAcentral describes it as "bacterial SSU rRNA". It matches the Rfam family "Bacterial small subunit ribosomal RNA", at positions 348 to 1044 of the family's 1533-position model. The record is from RNAcentral. Lineage: Bacteria; Bacillati; Mycoplasmatota; Mollicutes; Mycoplasmatales; Mycoplasmataceae.
GGAGAUGUAUGGUAGUGGACAAAUCCCGCGGUGGAUAGACGAAGGCUUUUAACAAAUUUGAACAAUCCUUUUAUUGGAAAACGAAAUGUAAAAAGAGGAAAUGCUUUUUAUUUGACUGUACUCAAUGAAUAAGUAUCGGCUAACUAUGUGCCAGCCGCCGCGGAAAUACAUAGGAUGCACGCGUUAUCCGGAUUUAGUGGGCGUAAAGCCAGCGCAGGGGGAUUUGCAAGUUUAGUGUUAAAUACUUCUGCCUAACAGGAGUAUGCAUUAAAAAGUGCAAGUCUAAAGUGUAAUAAAGAUUUUUGGAACUCCAUGUGGAGCGGUGAAAUGCACAAAUAUAUGGAAGAACACCAGAGGCGAAGGCGAAAAAUUAGACUAUAACUGACGCUUAAGCUUGAAAGUGUGGGGAACAAAUAGGAAUAAAUACCCUAGUAAUCCCCACCGGAAACGAAGGAAAUUAAAUCUUGGGAAGGAAUUUAUCAGGAUUGCAGUUAACGCGUUAAAUUACCCGCCUGGGUACUACAUUCGCAAGAAUGAAACUCAUACGGAAUUGACGGGGACCCGCACAAGUGGUGGAUCAUGUUGCUUAAUUCGACGAUACACGAAAAACCUUACCUGGGCUUGACCUCCCUUGCAAAUGCCAUGGAAACAUGGUGGAGGUUAACAAAGUGACAGAUGGUGC